AAUAGUGUGUUGUGCGCAUUCAUUACACAUGGUACCAUACACAUAAGGGCAUUUUCAUAUAAGUACCUAUUUUUAUAAACAGGAUAGCAAGUGACAGCCUUCAACAAUAUUUGCCUGCAUAUGAUUUUACGGUAGUUCAAGCCUUAAUAUCAAUAAUUACAGAACCAGCAUGUAUACUGUUAAGCGCUAUUUAAAUUUUAUGUAAGGGAUGCCACAUUCUCCUAAAUAUAUGACCCAAAAAGUGCAAGAUUCUCACUCCACUGAAUAUAUCACUUGUAAGAUAAAGUGUAACUAGUAUAAUGCUGUUGGGACAAUUUAAAAAUUUUUUAAUUUUAAUGUUAAUAGUGGCACAUAACUUUAAAAAUCCCAGCACUUGGGAGGCAGAGACAGGUAGAUCUCUGAGUUCAAAGAUAGCCAGGAAUACAUAGACUGUGUCUCAAAAAAAUAAAAAUAAACCCAAAAAAACUACUGAUAAUGUUAAAAGUACAUUUUCUAACUUUUUUAGUCUUAAUUUUUCUACAUGCAGUAGUUCUGGUCAAAUUUACUUUAUUCAAAUACCUAUCUAAAAGAAAAUAGUAAGGCAAAAUGUUACCAAAGUUUCAGGAAAUUGUUUUGGAUAAUUUAGAUGUUAAGAAUUACACAGGACUAAAUAAAACCCUUUCAGUUUGUCCAAAGAAUGUUCCUUUGCCUGUCUUCUUGGAGAAAACUCAUCCAUGUGUUUAUACAUUAUAACUUCAAUUUUGUUUUCAGAUAUCCUUUUGGAUGGAAUACUGCUAUAUUUAGUUAUUUUUAAAUUCAUCGUAGUAAUAUCUGGUCUUAGGCAUGAUACAUGACUAUUACAGUUGAGUGAUCCAGUCACUUUAAGUACAAAGUCAAGUACUGUUUCAAGUUAGCAUCAUGCUUAUGAAGAAAGCAACAAAUUCUGGUCAGGAUUCCCAAACUAAAAUUGGGCCCAUACCUUUAUUUAAGUCUGCAGUACAGAGAGGCCUCAAAACCAAGCCUUCUCCAGGAUGCGUUGGAGAAAUGGCUGGAGAAAAUAUAGCUGUAUUCUGACUCCAGUCCACUUCUUUGAGCAAACUUGGGUCAAACAUGGGAGUUUCAUCGGGUUUCAUCUUUCCAGUAAAGUCUAAAAUAAAAUUUCAAAUGUUGAGAGGCUUUAUAAAAGGAAAAGUAUACUUGUUAAGAAAGUUAAUGUCAUCACACAAAUGGGUUCUAUAACAUUUUAUCAGCUACUCUACUCUAGCUACCUAAAAUCUGUAAGUGUAAACACGUUUACUUGUUAAAAACCAUCUUUACUGUCAGUUGGGUUAUGGGUUGAGUAGUCAAAUUAAGUCACAAAAACAAAACUUUAAAACUAGCAGAUCCUGAAGAUGCUUUAUCCUGUGGGUUGGGCUCCUGGUGUAGCACUGUCAUCUUGUGGGUGCUCACAUUUGAACACUUAGAAUCUUGCAGUUAUUACUAGGCUCAGAAAUCACCUGGUAGCCAGGGGUCACUAAAGACUCACUUAAACAUAUGAAUAUGACUUAUUUUAUAUGAACCACAAACAAGAAACGUAGGAAUUACUCAAAUUACUUCAUUAUUCUCUGUAUUCACAAUAGUAUUAUCUUAGCCAUGACAGACACUGUGUGUGGUAGCUACUUCUAAACAGUUUAAUAACCAGUGGGUUGUUUUGUUGGUGGUGGUUGGUUGUUUUUCAUGCUAUGCACCAGACAUAGAGGGACGUGCUUAUAAUCCCAGAACUUCAGGCACCAAGGGAAUAGGAGUCUUAGGCCAGCCUGGGUUAAACUUUGGAAUACUGUCUCAAAAACACACAUAUGACCAAUGUGAUAUGAAACGCUGUCUCAAUAAAAAUUAAGUCAUAAUAAAUUUU
RNAcentral lists this long non-coding RNA (1870 nucleotides) under Mus musculus (house mouse). Its description in RNAcentral is "long non-coding RNA chr14:45383622-45385492". The record is from RNAcentral. Lineage: Eukaryota; Metazoa; Chordata; Mammalia; Rodentia; Muridae.